This is a small nucleolar RNA of Manihot esculenta (cassava), 87 nucleotides long. RefSeq annotates it as small nucleolar RNA U30. The record is from RefSeq and is a predicted model, not a curated record. NCBI's taxonomy places the organism in Eukaryota, Viridiplantae, Streptophyta, Magnoliopsida, Malpighiales, Euphorbiaceae. The transcript has a single exon.
UGCGAUGAUGAUGAGAUAAAUAAUCUCGUUAAUCUGAUGAUUAGCAUGAGGACAAAUCCUCUAUUCCAUUCUUAAAAGCCUCUGAGC